GGAGUCACGCGAAGUCGGAAGUACCAGCUGCGGGAAGGAGCUGCCCACUGUGCGUCUUCUCAACUUGUUGGGACAACCUUCCUGCGGAAAGGAGAGACAACCUUCCUGCAGAAAGGAGCUACCUGCUUCAGGUCUACUGAGAGCUGUUCUGCCACUCAAUAAAGCUCUUCUCCAUCUUGCUAAGCCUCCAUUUGUCCGCAAUACCUCAUCUCCCUGGACGCAGGACAAGAACUCAGGACCCGCCUGGAGGUACUAAAAGAGCUUUAACACAAACAGGGCUGAAACACGCUCCCUUGCUUGCCACAUUGCGGGUGACGAGAAGGAGAAAAGAGCUGUGUUCCUUUGAGGAUCCCAGACCUAGGGUCUCCCUGAGCCAGGGCUGUGACACUCCCUUUGGGGUUCUAUGGUUCCUGGCAUCUUCAAGCUUCCAGGCGCCACCACCUUCGUUCCCUUCAUCCAAACAGGUGCCCACAGCAGAAUCCACAUGCCGUCCAUCUGGUCCAGCCUCACGCAGAGCCACAACUGUGCUGGCGCCUGGAGCUGCCAGCCCCACUGCAGCAGCCGGACUGACAUUCAGACGUGGAGCAAGUUGGACUGCAUAGGGACCCACCAGUGAGAUGGACGCUGUCUGUAAACGAUGCGGAAAUUGAACAAUAGGAAGAUUCAACACAAUGUAGUCAGGAUAAGAAUGAAUGAGAAGAGGCCCAGUCCUUAGGAGGAAUUGUAACCAAGUUUCAUCUGUAGAUCUCCCAGUGAUCCUCCAGCCUUGAAUUUGUUUUAA
This 781-nucleotide long non-coding RNA is filed under the name Homo sapiens (human). RNAcentral describes it as "non-protein coding LINC01579:17". The record is from RNAcentral. Lineage: Eukaryota; Metazoa; Chordata; Mammalia; Primates; Hominidae.